This 254-nucleotide ribosomal RNA is filed under the name uncultured bacterium. RNAcentral's name for it is "partial 16S ribosomal RNA". It matches the Rfam family "Bacterial small subunit ribosomal RNA", at positions 524 to 776 of the family's 1533-position model. The record is from RNAcentral.
UACGGGGGGAGCAAGCGUUGUUCGGAUUUACUGGGCGUAAAGGGCGCGUAGGCGGUCAGCACAAGUCAGUUGUGAAAUCUCCGGGCUUAACCCGGAGCGGCCAAGUGAUACUGUCGUGCUAGAGUGCGGAAGGGGCUACUGGAAUUCUCGGUGUAGCGGUGAAAUGCGUAGAUAUCGAGAGGAACACCUGCGGCGAAGGCGGGUAGCUGGGCCGACACUGACGGUGAGGCGCGAAAGCCAGGGGAGCGAACGGG